This 266-nucleotide ribosomal RNA is filed under the name Aeromonas hydrophila. Its description in RNAcentral is "partial 23S ribosomal RNA". It matches the Rfam family "Bacterial large subunit ribosomal RNA", at positions 1443 to 1711 of the family's 2925-position model. The record is from RNAcentral. Lineage: Bacteria; Pseudomonadati; Pseudomonadota; Gammaproteobacteria; Aeromonadales; Aeromonadaceae.
ACGACUUGUAAUUGCGAUGGGGGGACGGAGAAGGCUAGGUGGGCCAGGCGACGGUUGUCCUGGUGAAAGUGCGUAGGUGGUGUUUCUAGGCAAAUCCGGAGACACAACACUGAGACACGAGACGAACGCACUACGGUGCGGAAGCCAUUGAUGCCCUGCUUCCAGGAAAAGCCUCUAAGCUUCAGAUUACAAGUCAUCGUACCCCAAACCGACACAGGUGGUCGGGUAGAGAAUACCAAGGCGCUUGAGAGAACUCGGGUGAAGGA